Molecule: ribosomal RNA, 453 nt
Filed under: uncultured Paraprevotella sp.
Lineage: Bacteria; Pseudomonadati; Bacteroidota; Bacteroidia; Bacteroidales; Prevotellaceae
Description: partial 16S ribosomal RNA
Rfam family: Bacterial small subunit ribosomal RNA
Source: RNAcentral
ACGGAAGGCAGCAGUGAGGAAUAUUGGUCAAUGGGCGGAAGCCUGAACCAGCCAAGUAGCGUGAGGGAUGACUGCCCUAUGGGUUGUAAACCUCUUUUGUUCGGGAAUAAAUGAGCCCACGUGUGGGUUUUUGCAUGUACCGUUCGGAUAAGCAUCGGCUAAUUCCGUGCCAGCAGCCGCGGUAAUACGGAAGAUUCGAGCGUUCUCCGGAUUUAUUGGGUUUAAAGGGAGCGUAGGCGGUCCUUUAAGUCAGCGGUCAAAUGUCGGGGCCCAACCCCGGCCUGCCGUUGAUACUGGAGGACUUGAAUACACACAAGGAAGGUGGAAUUCGUCGUGUAGCGGUGAAAUGCUUAGAUAUGACGAAGAACUCCGACUGCGAAGGCAGCCUUCUGGAGUGCGAUUGACGCUGAGGCUCGAAAGCGCGGGGAUCAAACAGGAUUAGAUACCCUGGUA